Molecule: long non-coding RNA, 1014 nt
Organism: Quercus lobata
Lineage: Eukaryota; Viridiplantae; Streptophyta; Magnoliopsida; Fagales; Fagaceae
Exons: 2
Source: RefSeq, a predicted model, not a curated record
AUCCACUUUCACACUAGGUAUACACAUUUUUCAAGAAUGUUCAAGUGAACACAGUGACACAUGAUGUGUAUGAAAAGUGUAUAAAGAGAGUGCGAGACAAUCAAGGAGUGAAUAUAUCACCUUCCUAAUAUGUAAAGCUUCACAUUUGGUGUUCCUUUAGAUCCAAAUUAGCAAUGAAAACCAGAGAAGUUGUUCAUGUGGCAGUAGAAUUCAUGCUACUUGUUAGAAGGGGUAGUGAAUUUCUUAUUAGGAAGUCUGGGUGAAGACUAUUUGUAUUUGAUACGGAGGAAAAUAGUUCAGUCAGACUGGUUGGUAGGAUGUUCUUCUGCGAAGUGGAAAAGGGUGAGUAUUGGGGGCACUAGAUCUUAUGCUCUCUUGGAAAGUGAAAUAGUCCUUACAAAUAAAAGGUUAUGGAAGUCUGAAUUGGAGAUGAAAGGUUAUGGAGAAGAGUAAUAGUGAUGAGCAGAACUACAGGAUUAAUAAGAAUGGUGGAGGUAGCUUCUUAUGCAAAGGUGGGUUGAAUGAAAAGGUGCAUGUCCCAAGAUGUAUUUAAAUAAAUUAAUAUAAUCUUACAUUUAGCUAUUCAACGACUGAUGUGCAAAUUUGCUUUUCUUUUCAUGCUCAUAAUGUUCACCCCGGCUGAUGAGAAACACAGAACGUAGGCUGUCAAAGAAAUCAAAACGUAGGUUCAGACAACCUGGCAUUGUCCCUGCUGCUUAUGCCAAAGUGAUGAAGAAGCUCAAUUUUUGUGGUUAAACAUUAGGAUUCCAAAGUAGGUGCUGCCAAUUCCUGGAAUUAAAGAGGGAAAGAUUCACCUCCAGCCUUCUGUUUUUUCAUGCUUUCCUCCUACUGCUUGCAUUUCAGUCCCUCAAUCAAGCAGGUUGUAGAGCAGGAUUUUUGUAGCUGGUUGUUUACAACAAUUGGUAAAUUUAAUUUAAGGCUAUUGCUUAGCCGAAUGAUUCUUAAUAAGUCUGAUAUUACUGUGGAAACUAAUACCAACUCUUUGUGGGCUUA